AUUUGAUGCUGAGGACAAUGGCACACAAUUGUUUGAAUCGCUCCCAAUACUCAUACAAAGUCUCCCCAGGAAGUUGUCUGAUCCCACAAAUAUCUUUUCUGAUGUU
Molecule: small nucleolar RNA, 106 nt
Rfam family: Plant small nucleolar RNA R71
About the family: R71 is a member of the C/D box family of snoRNAs containing the C (UGAUGA) and D (CUGA) box motifs. Multiple nearly identical copies of this snoRNA have been identified in Arabidopsis, and it is thought to function as a 2'-O-ribose methylation guide for 18S ribosomal RNA.
Source: Rfam